AGUGAACGCUGGCGGCAGGCCUAACACAUGCAAGUCGAGCGGCAGCGCGUCCGACCACCCUCGGGUGGUCGGAUGGCGGCGAGCGGCGGACGGGUGAGGAAUGCAUCGGAAUCUGCCUCGUUGUGGGGGAUAACGUAGGGAAACUUACGCUAAUACCGCAUACGACCUACGGGUGAAAGUGGGGGACCCUCGGGCCUCACGCGAUGAGAUGAGCCGAUGCCGGAUUAGCUAGUUGGUGAGGUAAAGGCCCACCAAGGCGACGAUCGAUAGCUGGUCUGAGAGGAUGAUCAGCCACACUGGAACUGAGACACGGUCCAGACUCCUACGGGAGGCAGCAGUGGGGAAUAUUGGACAAUGGGCGAAAGCCUGAUCCAGCCAUGCCGCGUGUGUGAAGAAGGCCCUUGGGUUGUAAAGCACUUUAAGCGGGGAGGAAGGUUCGCUGGCUAAUAUCCAGCGGAAUUGACGUUACCUGCAGAAUAAGCA
RNAcentral lists this ribosomal RNA (483 nucleotides) under uncultured bacterium. RNAcentral's name for it is "bacterial SSU rRNA". It matches the Rfam family "Bacterial small subunit ribosomal RNA", at positions 29 to 492 of the family's 1533-position model. The record is from RNAcentral.